AUUGAACGCUGGCGGCAGGCCUAACACAUGCAAGUCGAGCGAGCGGCGGACGGGUGAGUAAUGUCUGGGAAACUGCCUGAUGGAGGUGGAUAACUACUGGAAACGGUAGCUAAUACCGCAUACCAUCAGAUGUGCCCAGAUGGGAUUAGCUAGUAGGUGGGGUAACGGCUCACCUAGGCGACGAUACCUAGCUGGUCUGAGAGAAUGACCAGCCACACUGGAACUGAGACACGUUCCAGACUCCUAUGGGAGGCAGCAGUGGGGAAUAUUGCACAAUGGGCGCAAGCCUGAUGCAGCCAUGCCGCGUGUGUGAAGAAGGCCUUCGGGUUGUAAAUCACUUUCAGCGGGGAGGCUUGACCCGCAGAAGAAGCACCGGCUAACUCCGUGCCAGCCGCCGCGGUAAUAC
RNAcentral lists this ribosomal RNA (406 nucleotides) under uncultured bacterium. RNAcentral's name for it is "partial 16S ribosomal RNA". It matches the Rfam family "Bacterial small subunit ribosomal RNA", at positions 30 to 526 of the family's 1533-position model. The record is from RNAcentral.